RNAcentral lists this ribosomal RNA (468 nucleotides) under uncultured bacterium. RNAcentral describes it as "partial 16S ribosomal RNA". It matches the Rfam family "Bacterial small subunit ribosomal RNA", at positions 28 to 507 of the family's 1533-position model. The record is from RNAcentral.
GACGAACGCUGGCGGCGUGCUUAACACAUGCAAGUCGAACGGAAAGGCCCUGCUUUUGUGGGGUGCUCGAGUGGCGAACGGGUGAGUAACACGUGAGUAACCUGCCCUUUACUUUGGGAUAACUUCAGGAAACUGGGGCUAAUACCGGAUAGGAGCUCCUGCUGCAUGGUGGGGGUUGGAAAGUUUCGGCGGUUGGGGAUGGACUCGCGGCUUAUCAGCUUGUUGGUGGGGUAGUGGCUUACCAAGGCUUUGACGGGUAGCCGGCCUGAGAGGGUGACCGGCCACAUUGGGACUGAGAUACGGCCCAGACUCCUACGGGAGGCAGCAGUGGGGAAUAUUGCACAAUGGGCGGAAGCCCGAUGCAGCAACGCCGCGUGCGGGAUGACGGCCUUCGGGUUGUAAACCGCUUUCGCCUGUGACGAAGCGUGAGUGACGGUAAUGGGUGAAGAAGCACCGGCUAAGUACGUG